GAGUUUGAUCGUGGCUCAGAUUGAACGCUGGCGGCAUGCCUUACACAUGCAAGUCGAACGGCAGCACGGGAGCUUGCUCCUGGUGGCGAGUGGCGAACGGGUGAGUAAUGCAUCGGAACGUAUCCUGGAGUGGGGGAUAACGUAGCGAAAGUUACGCUAAUACCGCAUAUUCUGUGAGCAGGAAAGCGGGGGACCUUCGGGCCUCGCGCUCUUGGAGCGGCCGAUGUCGGAUUAGCUAGUUGGUGAGGUAAAGGCUCACCAAGGCGACGAUCCGUAGCAGGUCUGAGAGGAUGAUCUGCCACACUGGAACUGAGACACGGUCCAGACUCCUACGGGAGGCAGCAGUGGGAAUUUUGGACAAUGGGGGCAACCCUGAUCCAGCCAUGCCGCGUGAGUGAAGAAGGCCUCGGUUGUAAGUAC
This 420-nucleotide ribosomal RNA is filed under the name bacterium enrichment culture clone ALO1_GLFRUDD03G0GJJ. RNAcentral's name for it is "bacterial SSU rRNA". It matches the Rfam family "Bacterial small subunit ribosomal RNA", at positions 9 to 431 of the family's 1533-position model. RNAcentral also lists the same sequence under 1 other name. The record is from RNAcentral.